RNAcentral lists this ribosomal RNA (439 nucleotides) under uncultured bacterium. RNAcentral describes it as "partial 16S ribosomal RNA". It matches the Rfam family "Bacterial small subunit ribosomal RNA", at positions 339 to 795 of the family's 1533-position model. The record is from RNAcentral.
CUACGGGAGGCUCCAGUGAGGGAUAUUGCACAAUGGGGGGAACCCUGAUGCAGCAACGCCGUGUGGAGGAUGACGCAUUUCGGUGUGUAAACUCCUUUUAUAUGUCAAGAAAAUGACGGUAGCAUAUGAAUAAGCACCGGCUAACUCCGUGCCAGCAGCCGCGGUAAUACGGAGGGUGCAAGCGUUACUCGGAAUCACUGGGCGUAAAGGACGCGUAGGCGGGUUGGAAAGUCAGGUGUGAAAUCCUACAGCUUAACUGUAGAACUGCACUUGAAACUUCUAAUCUAGAGUAUGGGAGGGGGAGAUGGAAUUAGUGGUGUAGGGGUAAAAUCCGUAGAUAUCACUAGGAAUACCUAAAGCGAAGGCGAUCUCCUGGAACAUUACUGACGCUAAGGCGUGAAAGCGUGGGGAGCAAACAGGGUUAGAUACCCUCGUAGUC